This 382-nucleotide unclassified non-coding RNA is filed under the name uncultured Verrucomicrobiae bacterium. RNAcentral describes it as "contains 16S-23S intergenic spacer region". Lineage: Bacteria; Pseudomonadati; Verrucomicrobiota; Verrucomicrobiia. The record is from RNAcentral.
UCACCGCUUGCGCGGGCAGUCUCAUUAGAGUCCCCAGCUUAACCUGAUGGCAACUAAUGAUAGGGGUUGCGCUCGUUACGGGACUUAACCCAACACCUCACGACACGAGCUGACGACAGCCAUGCAGCACCUGUGCACACUGGUAUUGCUACCUCGUCACCCUUUCAGGCUUCUACUAUGUGCAUGUCAAGGCCAGGUAAGGUUCUUCGCGUUGCAUCGAAUUAAGCCACAUACUCCACCGCUUGUGCAGGCCCCCGUCAAUUUCUUUGAGUUUUAAUCUUGCGACCGUACUUCCCAGGCGGCACGUUUAUCGCGUUAGCUACGCCACAAAAGGGGUCGAUCCCUUUUACAGCAAACGUGCACCGUUUACGGCUAGGACUAC